CACGAAUGAAGCCAUUCCCUGGCCUUAGGCAAGCAGGCCCUGGACCCAAGAGCCUGCACACAGGACGACGCUGCCGGGACGUGAUUGAAUCCAGUCUCCUCCGGGCAACCGUCUUCCUGGGAGGGAACUUACGGCCGGCUGACCAGGACAGAAAAACGGAAACUCCCCCCACAGUGGUCCAGCCAUAGACGCCUCCACCAGGAAGCCCUCUGGGAAGAAGACGGCCUCUGCGUCCCAGCUCUGUCCAGUGGCCUCCAAGGUCCCCACCCAGCAUCAGCCCUGAGCAUGAGCAGGCAUCGUGUGGGGGGUAAGCCGUUGGCAAGGCCACUUGGCUCUACCUUCAAGACAUACCAGAGCCUAACGCGUCCCGCCGCCUGGUCCCCUCCCGCUGGGACCUGCGCCCACCUCCUCACCGGCCCCUCCUCUGCACACAACCUCUGGAAAACCUUAAUCAGGUCAUAUCCCCG
RNAcentral lists this long non-coding RNA (467 nucleotides) under Equus caballus (horse). Its description in RNAcentral is "lncRNA (ENSECAG00000043290.2)". The record is from RNAcentral. Lineage: Eukaryota; Metazoa; Chordata; Mammalia; Perissodactyla; Equidae.